AUUGAACGCUAGCGGGAUGCUUUACACAUGCAAGUCGAACGGCAGCGCGGACUUCGGUCUGGCGGCGAGUGGCGAACGGGUGAGUAAUGUAUUGGAACGUGCCCAGUAGCGGGGGAUAACUACGCGAAAGCGUAGCUAAUACCGCAUACGCCCUACGGGGGAAAGCAGGGGAUCGUAAGACCUUGCACUAUUGGAGCGGCCGAUAUCGGAUUAGCUAGUUGGUGAGGUAACGGCUCACCAAGGCGACGAUCCGUAGCUGGUUUGAGAGGACGACCAGCCACACUGGGACUGAGACACGGCCCAGACUCCUACGGGAGGCAGCAGUGGGGAAUUUUGGACAAUGGGGGCAACCCUGAUCCAGCCAUCCCGCGUGUGCGAUGAAGGCCUUCGGGUUGUAAAGCACUUUUGGCAGGAAAGAAACGUCGCGGGCUAAUACCCCGUGGAACUGACGGUACCUGCAGAAUAAGCACCGGCUAACUACGUG
This 484-nucleotide ribosomal RNA is filed under the name uncultured bacterium. RNAcentral describes it as "partial 16S ribosomal RNA". It matches the Rfam family "Bacterial small subunit ribosomal RNA", at positions 30 to 507 of the family's 1533-position model. The record is from RNAcentral.